UCAAGCUGUUAUUUUGUGCCUUAAUCUGGUC
Molecule: non-coding RNA, 31 nt
Filed under: Homo sapiens (human)
Lineage: Eukaryota; Metazoa; Chordata; Mammalia; Primates; Hominidae
Source: RNAcentral